Molecule: ribosomal RNA, 469 nt
Filed under: uncultured bacterium
Lineage: Bacteria
Description: partial 16S ribosomal RNA
Rfam family: Bacterial small subunit ribosomal RNA
Source: RNAcentral
GACGAACGCUGGCGGCGUGCUUAACACAUGCAAGUCGAACGGAAAGGCCCUGCUUUUGUGGGGUGCUCGAGUGGCGAACGGGUGAGUAACACGUGAGUAACCUGCCCUUGACUUUGGGAUAACUUCAGGAAACUGGGGCUAAUACCGGAUAGGAUCUCCUGCUGCAUGGUGGGGGUUGGAAAGUUUCGGCGGUUGGGGAUGGACUGGCUGCUUAUCAGCUUGUUGGUGGGGUAGUGGCUUACCAAGGCUUUGACGGGUAGCCGGCCUGAGAGGGUGACCGGCCAUCUUGGGACUUAGAUACGGCACAGAUUCCUAAGCGAGGCAGCUGUGGGGAAGAUUGACCAAUGGGCGGCAGCCUGAUGAAGAAACGCUGCGGGCGGGAUGACGGUCUUCGGGUUGUAAAACGCUUUCGCAUGUGACGAAGCGUGAGUGACGGUAACGGGUAAAGAAGCACCGGCUAAACUCGUGC